UUGCUUCACUCUCAGCAUUCAGAAUAGGAUGUAAUUUUGUUUCACUUGGCCUGGCUUCUAAUUCAACAACAUCCCUAAUAUUAUCUGAAAUCUGUAAGGAGGAACUAAGCUCCUCAGCAGUACAGAUUUGCACCUUCAGACUUCAGAGGCUCUCCAGUAUGUGCCUUGGGUAUUGUCAAGAGAGAGUGUAAGCUUGUUUUUCCAAGUUCUGCCUCACCCAGCCCCCACUUGGGUCUAAUUGUAAAGUGCAUCUGCAUGUUUUAAAAGCUCAUUAUGUAAAUGUAUCACAGUCCAUAUCCAUCAACAGAUAAUUAAGAGACUAUAUACAUAUGUAUGAGUUGGCUUAAUAUUGCUUUAAUGAGGAGGUUUACUAGAAAUACCAAAUCAAGGAGGCAAGAAGAAAAAUGAUCAUAAUAAAAAUGAGUACAAGUUUCCAGCAGUUCCUGGUAGUCCUGAGAGCUGCAGGAACACUCAAAGGGCACCUCACGUUUCCUCCUUGCCCACCAUAAAUGGGAGGAAGAAACUUGGAAAGAAGUGUUGCUCAACACAUCUUUGAAAAUAAGGUUAUACUUUUUAUUUUAUUCCAAAUUAAAGAUUUUAGAGGAGCCAGAGUCUCAUGUUUUCACCACCUGUAAAAGCAAGGUCAUGGCAGGGAAGUGGUCAGAAGUCUGACGUGGCAACCCCCCGGUCGAUGCCAAAACUGCAGAGAUGGAGACACCAGACUGGCCUAUUAGUGCCAGGCCACGUGCCAGGUGAGCAGAGCAUGAGCGAGGAUUUAGCCUUUGCUUACUCUCUCAGCAAGGCUUCUUGUCCAGCACACAAUCCAUACAACUGCAACAGCAGGCCUUUCUAGAAAAUUCCAAAGGAGUGACUCCCACCAAGAACUGGCCCGAGUCCGUAGAAACAGAGGACCCUUCCCCCAUUCUACCUAUCAACUUGUCCCUUUGGUUUACUCAACGGCAGCUCAACCCCACCUUUGGGACCCCUCUACCAGCCCUCUCUUCUCCGCUCAUACGCAGUUCAUUGGCCAAGACUCAGUCAGGUGGCUGUACCGAGUUACAGAGGAAGCUGGGCAUUGUGGUCUCGCUGGGUGACCAGAUGUGGCUCCCUGCGAUCUGGUGACUAGGGAAUUUGAAGGCUGGUCAUUUGCCUGUCCCAUUUCCCACACAUCGGAGGAGUAGGGACAGGAAGCUAGCUCCCCUUCAGUGAAGAGAAGGAUGGCACUCCUUGACCACGGCAGUUCUGGUUUCUUGACUUGAUCUAAUUCUAGCCUCUGGAAAACACCGCCUUGUCUAUCAUCCCCCGG
Bos taurus (domestic cattle) is the source of this 1306-nucleotide long non-coding RNA. The record is from Ensembl. Lineage: Eukaryota; Metazoa; Chordata; Mammalia; Artiodactyla; Bovidae.